This 63-nucleotide transfer RNA is filed under the name Pseudolebinthus lunipterus. RNAcentral describes it as "Pseudolebinthus sp. 1 RN-2019 tRNA-Cys". Lineage: Eukaryota; Metazoa; Arthropoda; Insecta; Orthoptera; Gryllidae. The record is from RNAcentral.
GCUUUAUAUUCAAAUAUGAUUUUAGACUGCAAUUCUGAAGGUGUAAAAUGUUACUAAAGCCUA